Molecule: ribosomal RNA, 242 nt
Filed under: uncultured bacterium
Lineage: Bacteria
Description: partial 16S ribosomal RNA
Rfam family: Bacterial small subunit ribosomal RNA
Source: RNAcentral
GAUCAUGGCUCAGGAUGAACGCUGGCGGCGUGCUUAACACAUGCAAGUCGAACGAAGCGCUUGAGAUUGAUUCUUCGGAUGAUUUCUCUUGCGACUUAGUGGCGGACGGGUGAGUAACGCGUGAGUAACCUGCCUCACACAGGGGGAUAACAGUUGGAAACGACCGCUAAUACCGCAUAACCCGCUAGGGCCGCAUGGCCCGGACGGAAAAGAUUUAUCGGUGUGAGAUGGACCCGCGUUGG